Long non-coding RNA from Tyto alba (common barn owl), 3245 nucleotides. RefSeq lists it as uncharacterized. NCBI's taxonomy places the organism in Eukaryota, Metazoa, Chordata, Aves, Strigiformes, Tytonidae. The record is from RefSeq and is a predicted model, not a curated record. The transcript is spliced from 2 exons.
AAUUUCACACACGUUACUUUUCUCCUUCCAAAACCUAUUAAUCAAGUGACAUUUUCUCCUACUUAGCACAGCAAUCAACUAUAGUCUAAGUGUUGCUAAUCAGCCUGUUUUCAUGGCUCUAACAACUCCCCAAGUAUAAAAACAAAUCAGGAUUUCCUACUUGCAUAAUUAAGAGGAUAAAGCCCUUGUUCCCUGAAGUGCAGUAUAUUAAACGCUCUGCAGCAGCACUCAUUCCAGCUGUGCUGAGCUCCACAAUAAUUCUUAUGACCUGAGAAUCUGCAUGCUGCUUUCUCUGCCCUAAGACCAUUGUCUAAACAUAAUUUAAAUUUUGUGACUGCUAGUAGUUGCUUAGAAUGUAAGCUCAGUUGUGAUUCUUUAGACUGGGUAAGCUUCAUUAAAUACAGUUUUAGAUAAAAAAAGUUGUUAUUUAAAGAGAAAACAAUCUAAUGGGCAUGACUAAAAAUAUUAAAAGAAGAAAUUACGACCUUGCCAACUUAACGGCUUCAUAUUUUAUUCUUUAUCCUCAUUUUAGUAUCAUUUCAUAAUUCGUAUUUAUGGAUGUUUAAGAUUCUCUACUGGUAUGUAGAGUUUUUAUCCAAAAACCCCCCCCCAAAAAAUUACUGCUAAAGUAUACUGCAAGAAAUGGUUAAGAUUCAGUAAGUUCAUAAGUUGUACUUCUGCAUAAAGAAUGGACUAAUUACAAUUAAACUACUACUCUAGCAUACAGUUACUAUAUGAAAAGACCCAUCAAUUAAUUAACAUUUGUCCUCCAGGGGAAUGUACAGCACUGGAGAUACCAUCAAAUUUACUUAACAAAAGGGAGGUAAAAAUUGACGUUCAAUUUUCUAAACACAAUGGAAAGAAGGGGAUGAGACAAUUCUUUUACAGUUGUUUCCACUUCAGUUUUUUUUGCUGGCCAUGGCCUUGCAGGCUACAGAUUUAACCCUAGUUCCAACCUUCAAAAAGUUUGCGCUCACUAAUUAACCAAGUGGACCACAAGGAAAAAAGACUCCAGCCCGUGGCUCAGCAGGCCUGGAGCGCUGCACUGACGCUGCCAGGAGCUCUGCCAGACAACAGGAAGACCUAGGACAGAAUUCAACUCUCAUAAAUGGAAUUGAACAAAUAGGUGUACCAGAAGGACUGUUUUACCACAUAACAGCACAGAAGACAUAAUUUUAUUUAAAAUUAUCUUCUACAUUAAGUAGUAAAUACUGUAAAAAUUCAGGACCUCACGAAGUAACUGUCCUAAAUUUGGUGCCCAUCUUUACGUAACGACCAGUUUUUCUUUACCCUGACGGUAAGUCCUAAUCUCUCUCCCCACCUCCAGUGUUAACUGGCUUUUACUUACCCUUUCCCCAUUUCUCCCUUGCAAACCAAACCAAACCAAACCCCUAUCUCACCUGCCUGCUGCUUCUCACCUGCCAAGUUGUUCAUCUGAAGCACUUCUUUAUUCCAUGCCAAUUUUUCCUGGUUUUGCAGUGUAUGUACCCUGUGCUUCCUGACCUAAACAACCGGUCAGCUAUAAAAGAUUCCUAAAGAGAGGGGAUCCUGACUGAGCAAUCGGGGACGAUGCCUUCAGGCAACCAUAAACUUCUCUUCCCCCCAUGGUGCUGAAGACUUCCUAAAGCAAGAAAUCACUCAUCCCUUCAAGUAUAUAAUUUGUUACAGCUUUCAUGCAUCACAAAGGACAAGAGAAGUAUACAAGUGAUUGAAAGCAAGCGAACAAGAGACCAAUACUCAUUAGGCUUCCUUCAACUCAAUCAACAACUGAAUAGACUGUUUUACACUACAGGAAGAAUCAAGUGAAGUCAAAUAUUAGUUUUCCCUUUGCCAGACAGUGCACAGACAUUAAUUAUGACGACGGGUGCUGGGGACAGCAGUAGAACCGUAACGAAACACGGCCACUGUGCAGGCAGCUUAAUGGUCAUCCCCUGGCAUCGCCAGUGGCGUUGCUGCUGCCACUCAGAUGUGCAGUGCUUCCACGAGCCUCCCUGAACAUUUUAUUGCUUCAGAGGACAUGGGAUGACCUGUCUCUGCAUAUACAGAGAAAAGGCUAAUUCUACCACUCAAAUGUGCUAGGCGAGUUAAAACAUUUUGUAAUAAUAAAAACAAAAAUUAUACACGAGCAUAUAAACAUCACCAGUAAAUGUGUGUUAAAAUAUAUCCAAGCAGAGCGGCUUUAUUCCCAGUGAGCCAAUAUUUUUAUGAGGAAGAAAUGAAUAUGAAUGUUAUUAAAUUAACUAAAUCAAUGUUACUUGAUUAAUUCAAGUCACUUCAGCAUUUGCUAAGAACAUUAUGAAAAAGUCACAACCUCCAAGUGCUCUCACACUAUUGUGGGGCUGAAUUUCUGGGAAUGUAUUUGCCGUCUUUGUUUUAAAUUUCUGAUACUAAAUCUUUAUGUUAAAUUGAUCCUUGGGAACAAUCGAUCCUGACUAAAGCAGGUAAAAUGAAGUUACGUGCUUCUUCCUGUGUAAAAAAUAAGUGAGUUUCUGAAAACAAACCAAGUAAUCGAAGCCCAAACCAACAAGAUUAGUUCCAGUUUUACAAACUUAAAACCUCCGGUUCUACUUUGCCAAUUAGAACAGUGUGAUUUUUAGCAGCAGUCAUUUUGAUUAAGUUCUACUUGGAUUGUGUUUCUCUGGAUAGAUUUUUUUUUUGUUGUUAUGUUUAUGCAUAGCUAGUCAGGAAACGAUGACUUUUAAAUCAUGAAAUUUCCAACCAUUUAAAUAACAAAAAAUCUCAACCAGGUAAGAACCAAACAUGACCCAAGACACACCUGGGUUGACUGCUUGCCUGUAAUUAUUAAAAAAAUAUAAGAAAAGGGCAUUUUUAAAACAAAGCUUUUAUUUGUUUCAAAGGAAAUAAUUUUCUGUAGAUGCGUUUUCAAACAGAAGACCUUUCAGACUACAAACUCACCCAUCAGCAUUCUUCUCUCUCAACAAAGCAGCAGUUUCUAUUAGCUUUUUCCUUCUCUCCCAUUGUUUUCUUUGCUUUUCCCGAACCUUUGAACAACAAAACAAAUAAUUUGCACUUUAACUGGUAAUUCUAUAUGGAUCCUUAUUGCACGGACUGAAUUUUCAUUUUUGCAUCUUAGCUGGCUUAAUGUAAGACAAAAGACCACUUCCACAGUUCCACUCUAACACCUGAAGGAGAUGUAUGUCAGCAUGUCUAAUUCAGCCAGCAGAAUUUCAAGCAUAUAGACAUUGUAAAACUUGAAUAGCCACAAUAAAUAUUCUUACAUUUUC